This 56-nucleotide transfer RNA is filed under the name Strongyloides procyonis. Its description in RNAcentral is "tRNA-Asp". Lineage: Eukaryota; Metazoa; Nematoda; Chromadorea; Rhabditida; Strongyloididae. The record is from RNAcentral.
AAAACUUUAGUAUAUAUAGUAUUAUUCAUUGUCACUGAUUGGGAUUUUAAGUUUUA